Molecule: non-coding RNA, 303 nt
Organism: Flagellimonas sp.
Lineage: Bacteria; Pseudomonadati; Bacteroidota; Flavobacteriia; Flavobacteriales; Flavobacteriaceae
Rfam family: Bacterial RNase P class A
About the family: Ribonuclease P (RNase P) is a ubiquitous endoribonuclease, found in archaea, bacteria and eukarya as well as chloroplasts and mitochondria. Its best characterised activity is the generation of mature 5'-ends of tRNAs by cleaving the 5'-leader elements of precursor-tRNAs.
Source: Rfam
AUAGCAGGCCGCCUUAUCGCUGCAAUUUCAAUUAAUUGGAAUUGAAGAGGAAAGUCCGGACACCAAAGUGCAGCAUAGCGGGUAACGCCCGUCCGCCGAAAGGUGAGGACCAGUGCAACAGAAAGCAAGUACAGUUAGGCUGUAGUGAAAUCAGGUAAACUCUAUGCGGUGAAACGUCAUGUAAACCAAUGUUUGAGGGCUGCACGCCCAAAUUGGAGGGUAGGCGGUUGGAACUUUUGGGUAACUGAAAGUCUAGAUAAAUGAUAGGGCCAGACAGAAUCCGGCUUAUGGCCUGCUUUUUUU